Molecule: small RNA, 706 nt
Filed under: Pan troglodytes (chimpanzee)
Lineage: Eukaryota; Metazoa; Chordata; Mammalia; Primates; Hominidae
Description: retained intron
Source: RNAcentral
CUCUCCCCCAGUGGUUUGGCAAUCUGGUAACAAUGAAGUGGUGGAAUGACCUAUGGCUAAAUGAAGGUUUUGCCACUUUCAUGGAGUAUUUCUCUUUGGAAAAAAUAUUCAAAGAGCUUUCUAGUUAUGAAGAUUUCUUAGAUGCUCGAUUUAAAACCAUGAGGAAAGAUUCCUUAAAUUCAUCUCAUCCAAUAUCAUCAUCUGUUCAGUCUUCAGAACAAAUUGAAGAAAUGUUUGAUUCUCUUUCCUAUUUUAAGGGAUCUUCUCUCUUGUUGAUGCUGAAAACUUACCUUAGUGAAGAUGUGUUUCAACAUGCUGUUGUCCUUUACCUGCAUAAUCACAGCUAUGCAUCCAUUCAAAGUGAUGAUCUGUGGGAUAGUUUUAAUGAGGUCACAAACCAAACACUAGAUGUAAAGAGAAUGAUGAAAACCUGGACCCUGCAGAAAGGAUUUCCUUUAGUGACUGUUCAAAAGAAAGGAAAGGAACUUUUUAUACAACAAGAGAGAUUCUUUUUAAAUAUGAAGCCUGAAAUUCAGCCUUCAGAUACAAGGUACAUGCCCUCUUUCUUUUCAUGCCAUCUCUUUUGCACUCUCAGGUGGAAAUAUUUUUAAGUGUUUUAUAAUCAUAAGUUCUUGUGAAACCUAACAAGAUUAUCCCUUCCUAGGAAUAGCUUAACAAAGUUAACCUUCCUACCAAAUUAAAAAAA